GACGUGGGGGGCCAGCGUUGCUCGGAAUUACUGGGCGUAAAGGGUUCGUAGGCGGUGUGGCAAGUCGGAAGUGAAAUCUCCAGGCUUAACUUGGAGGCUGCUCCCGAAACUGCCAUGCUAGAGUGCGGGAGAGGCGAGUGGAAUUGCAGGUGUAGCGGUGAAAUGCGUAGAUAUCAGGAGGAACACCUGUGGUGUAGACGGCUUACUGGACCGCAACUGACGCUGAGACACGAAAGCGUGGGUAGCAAACAGG
This 253-nucleotide ribosomal RNA is filed under the name uncultured bacterium. RNAcentral's name for it is "partial 16S ribosomal RNA". It matches the Rfam family "Bacterial small subunit ribosomal RNA", at positions 524 to 776 of the family's 1533-position model. The record is from RNAcentral.